AGACACGCACGUAAGUUAAAGCGCCUGUCUAGUAAGCAGGAGAUCCUGGGUUCAAAUCCCAGAGGCGUCUG
This is a non-coding RNA of Ameiurus melas (black bullhead), 71 nucleotides long. The record is from the annotation of a GenBank genome assembly. Lineage: Eukaryota; Metazoa; Chordata; Actinopteri; Siluriformes; Ictaluridae.